This 211-nucleotide unclassified non-coding RNA is filed under the name Glomeraceae sp. RNAcentral describes it as "partial contains 5.8S ribosomal RNA and internal transcribed spacer 2". The stretch from base 1 to 64 matches the Rfam family "5.8S ribosomal RNA", at positions 85 to 154 of the family's 154-position model. Lineage: Eukaryota; Fungi; Glomeromycota; Glomeromycetes; Glomerales; Glomeraceae. The record is from RNAcentral.
GUGAUCAUCAAAUUUUUGAACGCAAAUUGCACUCUCCUCGGAGAGUAUGCCUGCUUGAGGGUCAGCCUAUAAAAAUCGACAUCGUUGCUGUUUCGCGGUGGCGUUUGUCGGAAAUUGGGUCAUCUUAAAUCCUUUUGAUUUAAGCGACUUAAAAUUUCCUUUGGGUUCAUGGAACUUUUUUAAAACCAAUUUUUUUCACGUUUUAAGUAAU